This 315-nucleotide long non-coding RNA is filed under the name Cyanistes caeruleus (blue tit). Its description in RNAcentral is "lncRNA (ENSCCEG00000017543.1)". Lineage: Eukaryota; Metazoa; Chordata; Aves; Passeriformes; Paridae. The record is from RNAcentral.
AGAGUGAUAGCUGAUUUGUAACAUUUUAAUCAAAAAGUCUGCAAAAUGAACCAGGCACCAAAUCUUCACUAGGAUCCCGAGGAGCCACAGGAUUACUGCUGAUCUGUGAUCUAAAUUGAGGAGGCAGCAUGUAAAAAUCCCUGUCUCUUAUGGAGAUCAGAGGCUGUGGAGGUUAAGGCUGCAUCAUCCCUGGUACCCCAAAAGAUAUCUAUCACUCUGACACCCUGAGGUUCAGGAGAGCUUGGUCAGCUCUUCACUCAACAUUUGUAAGCGCUUAGCACUAGCAUUCCUAGUACCAAUUCAAGUAAAUAUACU